AGAGUUUGAUCAUGGCUCAGGACGAACGCUGGCGGCGUGCUUAACACAUGCAAGUCGAACGGAAAGGCCCCUUCGGGGGUACUCGAGUGGCGAACGGGUGAGUAACACGUGGGUGAUCUGCCCUGCACUUUGGGAUAAGCCUGGGAAACUGGGUCUAAUACCGAAUAGGACCGCAUGCUUCAUGGUGUGUGGUGGAAAGCUUUUGCGGUGUGGGAUGGGCCCGCGGCCUAUCAGCUUGUUGGUGGGGUAAUGGCCUACCAAGGCGACGACGGGUAGCCGGCCUGAGAGGGUGUCCGGCCACACUGGGACUGAGAUACGGCCCAGACUCCUACGGGAGGCAGCAGUGGGGAAUAUUGCACAAUGGGCGCAAGCCUGAUGCAGCGACGCCGCGUGGGGGAUGACGGCCUUCGGGUUGUAAACCUCUUUCAGUAUCGGCGAAGCUCCAGGAUUUUUCUUGGGGUGACGGUAGGUACAGAAGGAGCACCGGCCAACUACGUGCCAGCAGCCGCGGUAAUACGUAGGGUGCGAGCGUUGUCCGGAAUUACUGGGCGUAAAGAGCUCGUAGGUGGUUUGUCACGUUGUCUGUGAAAACUCACAGCUUAACUGUGGGCGUGCGGGCGAUACGGGCAGACUGGAGUACUGUAGGAGAGACUGGAAUUCCUGGUGUAGCGGUGGAAUGCGCAGAUAUCAGGAGGAACACCGGUGGCGAAGGCGGGUCUCCGGGCAGUAACUGACGCUGAGGAGCGAAAGCGUGGGGAGCGAACAGGAUUAGAUACCCUGGUAGUCCAA
This 789-nucleotide ribosomal RNA is filed under the name uncultured bacterium. RNAcentral's name for it is "bacterial SSU rRNA". It matches the Rfam family "Bacterial small subunit ribosomal RNA", at positions 8 to 798 of the family's 1533-position model. The record is from RNAcentral.